GAUGAAGAACGUAGCGAAAUGCGAUAAGUAAUGUGAAUUGCAGAAUUCAGUGAAUCAUCGAAUCUUUGAACGCACCUUGCGCCCUUUGGACAUUCCGAAGGGCAUGCCUGUUUGAGUAUCAUGAACACCUCAACUCUCACGGCUUGUCCGUGAUGAGCUUGGACUUUGGGGGUCUUGCCGGCCUGUGGUCGGCUCCUCUCAAAUGGAUCAGCUUGCCAGUGUUUGGUGGCAUCACAGGUGUGAUAACUAUCUGCGCUUGUGGUUUUCCAUCAGAUAACCCUCAGUGAUAUGGAGGUUCGCUGGAGCUCACAAAUGUCUCUCCUUAGUGAGGACAGCUCUUUGAACGUUUGAUCUCAAAUCAGGUAGGACUACCCGCUGAACUUAAGCAUAUCAAUAAGCGGAGGA
RNAcentral lists this unclassified non-coding RNA (405 nucleotides) under soil metagenome. Its description in RNAcentral is "partial contains 5.8S ribosomal RNA, internal transcribed spacer 2, and large subunit ribosomal RNA". The stretch from base 1 to 121 matches the Rfam family "5.8S ribosomal RNA", at positions 35 to 154 of the family's 154-position model. The record is from RNAcentral.